This 253-nucleotide ribosomal RNA is filed under the name uncultured bacterium. Its description in RNAcentral is "partial 16S ribosomal RNA". It matches the Rfam family "Bacterial small subunit ribosomal RNA", at positions 524 to 776 of the family's 1533-position model. The record is from RNAcentral.
UACGGAGGGGGCGAGCGUUGUUCGGAAUUACUGGGCGUAAAGGGCGCGUAGGCGGUGCACCAAGUCAGGCGUGAAAGCCCCGGGCUCAACCCGGGAACCGCGCUUGAGACUGGCACGCUCGAGUUCGGGAGAGGAUGGUGGAAUUCCCAGUGUAGAGGUGAAAUUCGUAGAUAUUGGGAAGAACACCGAUGGCGAAGGCAGGUCACUGGGCCGCAACUGACGCUGAGGAGCGAAAGCAUGGGGAGCGAACAGG